This 74-nucleotide transfer RNA is filed under the name Bipes biporus. Its description in RNAcentral is "tRNA-Ser". It matches the Rfam family "tRNA". Rfam says of the family: Transfer RNA (tRNA) molecules are approximately 80 nucleotides in length. Their secondary structure includes four short double-helical elements and three loops (D, anti-codon, and T loops). The record is from RNAcentral. Lineage: Eukaryota; Metazoa; Chordata; Lepidosauria; Squamata; Bipedidae.
GAGAAGGAGCAUGGCGGUCAUGUGCCUGGCUUGAAACCAGUGUUUGGUGGUUCAAUUCCAUCCUUCUUCGAUUG